This is a non-coding RNA of Miniopterus natalensis, 975 nucleotides long. The record is from RefSeq and is a predicted model, not a curated record. Lineage: Eukaryota; Metazoa; Chordata; Mammalia; Chiroptera; Miniopteridae.
GUAUAUCAUUUUGGGGCCACUAUUUACUGCUAGGGAGUGUGGCUCCAGAAUCCUGGUGGUUCUGGAGCCUGUGUCCAUACCUAGUUCUGGAAUUCUGAGGCCAAUUCUGUGAGACUUGGAUCCAGUGAUUCUCACACUUGAGAGUGCAUCAGAGCCACUGGGAGGCUUGUGAAAGUGUAGGCUCCAAUUCUGCCGGUCUGGGGCUGGCCUGAGUUUGCUCUCUGACAAACUCCUGGUGGUGCUGAUGCUGAGACCUCUGGCCCACAGGUUCGGACGAAGGACGUGCUGUUCGAGAGCAUCAGCCACCUGAUUGACUAUCACCUGCAGAACGGGCAGCCCAUUGUAGCCGCUGAGAGCGAGCUGCACCUGCGCGGUGUGGUCAAGCGGGAGCCCUGAGCCAGGUGAUGGUUGCCACCCUCGGCUCCUGUCCCUGCUACCCAGAUGUCCUUCCUGUGGCCUUACAGCCUUUCUCUGGACCCUGGUCAGGCCGAACCACUGCAGUCUCUCCUUCCUCCACAUGGGCCUUGAAUUUCCCUUCUCCAGCCCACUCUUGGCUGGGCCAGGUCAACCAUGCCAGGAGACGCCCAAGACCCCUCUCUCCUGAGCCCCCUGCCUGGAGUUAGGGUACAAACCAAAGACAGAACCGUUUCUCGCCUUUAACGAAAAUAUAUCAAAAAGCAGCCCUCAGUGUCCUGGCGAGGUCCUGGUGGGGCAGGGAGACACUGUCUCUUUUCCCAGCUGGACUUCAGCUCAUUUCCCUGGAAGGAGAAGGUUCCUAGGCUCCUGGCAUGGAGUUGGAGUCCUGUCCUGGCCAGGCUCAGUGUUUUCCCCUGAAAAAUUGGUGCACAGUUUUUGAGGGAGAGUUGAGGUGCUUUGGGUCCUCAGGCCAGGACACAGGCUGAUGUUGAAGUGGGGGGUAUUGACCUGAGCUGGACAUUUUGAAUCUGUUUAUAAUUAAACCUGGGAAUGACACGA